UACGUAGGUGGCGAGCGUUGUCCGGAAUUACUGGGCGUAAAGGGCUCGUAGGCGGCCAACUAAGUCAUACGUGAAAUCCCUCGGCUUAACCGGGGAACUGCGUCUGAUACUGGAUGGCUUGAGUUCGGGAGAGGGAUGCAGAAUUCCAGGUGUAGCGGUGAAAUGCGUAGAUAUCUGGAGGAACACCGGUGGCGAAGGCGGCAUCCUGGACCGAUACUGACGCUGAGGAGCGAAAGCCAGGGGAGCAAACGGG
Molecule: ribosomal RNA, 253 nt
Filed under: uncultured bacterium
Lineage: Bacteria
Description: partial 16S ribosomal RNA
Rfam family: Bacterial small subunit ribosomal RNA
Source: RNAcentral